AUUGUCAAAUAGUUAAAUCUACUCUUGGUCAGCUGUAAAAGCAGGUUUCAUUUACACUGAUGAUAACACCCACCUGCGGGUGAAAAUAUCUUCAAAGAUGUUGACCUCAAACAGCACUAUAAUUAACACUGACAACACUGACCAUAGAUGUAACCUCCAGAUUGGGGAGACAAGCAUGGGAGUGUAGAUGUCUGGAAUGUAGAGUAGUAGACUCUCAUUAUGACAUCAUUAGAACACACUGAAGACAGGUUUAUAAUGACACAUCUCUCAUUAUGACAUCAUUAUGACAGACUGAAGACAGGUUUAUAAUGACACAUCUCUCAUUAUGACAGACUGAAGACAGGUUUAUAAUGACACAUCUCUCAUUAUGACAUCAUUAUGACAGACUGAAGACAGGUUUAUAAUGACACAUCUCUCAUUAUGACAUCAUUAUGACAGACUGAAGACAGGUUUAUAAUGACACAUCUCUCAUUAUGACAGACUGAAGACAGGUUUAUAAUGACACAUCUCUCAUUAUGACAUCAUUAUGACAGACUGAAGACAGGUUUAUAAUGACACAUCUCUCAUUAUGACAUCAUUAUGACAGACUGAAGACAGGUUUAUAAUGACACAUCUCUCAUUAUGACAUCAUUAUGACAGACUGAAGACAGGUUUAUAAUGACACAUCUCUCAUUAGAACAGACUGAAGACAGGUUUAUAAUGACACAUCUCUCAUUAUGACAUCAUUAUGACAGACUGAAGACAGGUUUAUAAUGACACAUCUCUCAUUAUGACAGACUGAAGACAGGUUUAUAAUGACACAUCUCUCAUUAUGACAUCAUUAUGACAGACUGAAGACAGGUUUAUAAUGACACAUCUCUCAUUAUGACAGACUGAAGACAGGUUUAUAAUGACACAUCUCUCAUUAUGACAGUGUGUGAUAGAACAGGCAAAGCAAAGGAAUGGCCAGAUGAAAUGUUUCAAAUGCUUCUUUCAUAGCUAGAUAACGUAAUUUGUGUAAUUAAGUUCUUACUAACAGUAUGAGUAUAGAAGAGACUUAUAAUAACUUCCUGUGUGUGUGUGUGUGUGUGUGGUGUGUGUGUG
This is a long non-coding RNA of Oncorhynchus keta (chum salmon), 1083 nucleotides long. RefSeq lists it as uncharacterized. NCBI's taxonomy places the organism in Eukaryota, Metazoa, Chordata, Actinopteri, Salmoniformes, Salmonidae. The record is from RefSeq and is a predicted model, not a curated record. The transcript is spliced from 3 exons.